Molecule: ribosomal RNA, 883 nt
Filed under: uncultured bacterium
Lineage: Bacteria
Description: bacterial SSU rRNA
Rfam family: Bacterial small subunit ribosomal RNA
Source: RNAcentral
GAAACCCUGAUGCAGCGAUGCCGCGUGAGUGAAGAAAGGCCUUUNAUUCUAAAACUCUUUCGUCGGAGAAGAAAAUGACUGUACCCGAAUAACAAUUUCUCGGGCAAACUUCGUAGCCAGCACCCCCCGUAAUACGAAGGGACCUAGCGUAGUUCGGAAUUACUGGGCUUAAAGAGCUCGUAGGUGGUUAAAAAAGUUGAUGGUGAAAUCCCAAGGCUUAACCUUGGAACUGCCAUCAAAACUUUUUAGCUAGAGUGUGAUAUGAGGUAAGUGGAAUUUCUAGUGUAGAGGUGAAAUUCGUAGAUAUUAGAAAGAACACCAAAUGCGAAGGCAACUUACUGGGUCACUACUGACACUGAGGAGCGAAAGCAUGGGUAGCGAAGAGGAUUAGAUACCCUCGUAGUCCAUGCCGUAAACGAUGUGUGCUAAGACCGUUUGGAAAUAUAUUUUUCAAGUGUCGCAGCCGAAAGCAUUAAGCACACCGCCUGGGGAGUACGACCCGCAAGGUUAAAACUCAAAUUGAAUUGACGGGGACCCGCACAAGCAGUGAAGCAUGUUGGUUUAAUUCUAAGAUACCCCCAAAACCUUACCAACACUUGACAUGUUCGUCCCCAGACUUAAAAAAAUUAAUCCUUUCAAUUUCCGGCUGGACAAAACACAAGUGCUGCAUGGCUUGUCCAUCAACCUUCCUUGUUCCUGAAGAAUUUUGGGUUAAAUUCCCCCAACAAAGCCCAACCCCCUUACUUUUUAAGUUUGCCCCCCCAUUUUAGUUUGGGCCACCUUUAAAAAGAAAACCUUCCCACUUAUAUUAAAACCUUGGAAGGAAAGGUGGGGGAAAUAACCCUCCAAAUUCCCCUCAAUGGGCCCCUUAAUUUUUUUGGGG